RNAcentral lists this ribosomal RNA (558 nucleotides) under Diaporthales sp. MS526. RNAcentral's name for it is "eukaryotic LSU rRNA". The stretch from base 188 to 341 matches the Rfam family "5.8S ribosomal RNA". Lineage: Eukaryota; Fungi; Ascomycota; Sordariomycetes; Diaporthales. The record is from RNAcentral.
CGCAAGCCCCCAUCCUCCCAACCCUUUGUGAACAUACCUAUUAUCGUUGCCUCGGCGGUGCCGGGCCUGGUCCCCCGCGCCCCCCUCCGGUCCUCCGGGGGGCGGGCGCCGGAGCAGCCCGCCGGAGGCCCUACAAACUCUUGUUUCCGAGUGUCUCCUCUGAGUUAUAAGCUUCUAAAUAAGUAAAAACUUUCAGCAACGGAUCUCUUGGUUCUGGCAUCGAUGAAGAACGCAGCGAAAUGCGAUAAGUAAUGUGAAUUGCAGAAUUCAGUGAAUCAUCGAAUCUUUGAACGCACAUUGCGCCCGGUAGUAUUCUACCGGGCAUGCCUGUUCGAGCGUCAUUUCAACCCUCAAGCACUGCUUGGUGUUGGGGCGCCACCGUCCCCCGCGGCGGUGGGCCCCCAAAUCCAUUGGCGAGCUCUCCAGGACCCCGAGCGCAGUAGUAUUCUCCUCGCUUUGGGCGGACUGGCGGUGCCCUGCCACCAACGGCGGCGUCGCGCAAGCGCGCCGCGAACCCACUAUCACAAGGUUGACCUCGGAUCAGGUAGGAAUACGCGC